This 774-nucleotide ribosomal RNA is filed under the name uncultured Neocallimastigales. Its description in RNAcentral is "partial large subunit ribosomal RNA". It matches the Rfam family "Eukaryotic large subunit ribosomal RNA", at positions 26 to 616 of the family's 3401-position model. The record is from RNAcentral. Lineage: Eukaryota; Fungi; Neocallimastigomycota; Neocallimastigomycetes; Neocallimastigales.
CGCAUCUGUGCAUGCAGCAUAUCAAUAAGCGGAGGAAAAGAAACUAACAAGGAUUCCCCUAGUAACGGCGAGUGAAGCGGGAAGAGCUCAAAUUUGAAAUCUUAAAGGGUUUCCCUUUACGAAUUGUAGUUUAAAGAAGUGUUUUCUGUUGAGGUUUUGGUAAAAGUUCUUUGGAAUAGGACAUCGAUAGAGGGUGAGAAUCCCGUAUUUGACCUUUACUUUCAACUUUGUGAUACACUUUCAAAGAGUCGGAUUGUUUGGGAAUGCAGUCCAAAAUGGGUGGUAAAUUUCAUCUAAAGCUAAAUAUUGGCGAGAGACCGAUAGCGAACAAGUACCGUGAGGGAAAGAUGAAAAGAACUUUGAAAAGAGAGUUAAACAGUACGUGAAAUUGUCAAAAGGGAAGCGUUUGACACCAGUGUUGUUUUUCUGAAAAUCAAUUAAAGAACUGUUUAUGCUAAGCUGUUUAGACUUUAUCAGCUAACUGUUUAGUUUUGAGCUUUCUUUAAUGCACUUUUCAGUUAACAAGUCAACAUCGAUUUCUUUUGCUGUAAAAAAGCUUGAGGAAGGUGGCUUGAGAUUCGUCUUAAGUGUUUAUAGCCUCUUGCCUAUGCAGUCGGAGAGAUUGAGGUCUGCAGCGUAGAUCCUUCGGGGCUAAAUGCAUUUGUGCUAAGUUAUAGCAUUUUAUAGACAACUUGUUGACUAUGAUUUGUCUUGUAGCUUACUCGCUUAUGUUAUUUUACCUACGCUUAGGAUGUUGAGCGCAUGUCUCUCUCU